Molecule: ribosomal RNA, 329 nt
Filed under: uncultured Chloroflexota bacterium
Lineage: Bacteria; Bacillati; Chloroflexota
Description: bacterial SSU rRNA
Rfam family: Bacterial small subunit ribosomal RNA
Source: RNAcentral
CAGGUGCUGCAUGGCUGUCGUCAGCUCGUGCCGUGAGGUGUUAGGUUAAGUCCUGCAACGAGCGCAACCCUCGUCGCUAGUAAUUUUCUAGCGAGUACUGCCCGUAUAACGAGGAGGAAGGUGGGGAUGACGUCAAGUCAGCAUGGCCCUUACGUCCUGGGCUACACACACGCUACAAUGGGUGAUACAAAAGGUUGCGAUAGAGCGAUCUGGAGCUAAUCCUGAAAAAUCAUCCUCAGUUCGGAUUGCAGGCUGAAACGGCCUGCAUGAAGUUGGAGUUGCUAGUAACCGCAGGUCAGCACACUGCGGUGAAUACGUUCUCGGGCCUU